Molecule: ribosomal RNA, 457 nt
Filed under: Alloprevotella sp. oral taxon 308
Lineage: Bacteria; Pseudomonadati; Bacteroidota; Bacteroidia; Bacteroidales; Prevotellaceae
Description: bacterial SSU rRNA
Rfam family: Bacterial small subunit ribosomal RNA
Source: RNAcentral
GAUGAACGCUAGCUACAGGCUUAACACAUGCAAGUCGAGGGGCAGCGGGUUGAAAGCUUGCUUUCAAUGCCGGCGACCGGCGCACGGGUGCGUAACGCGUAUCAAACCUGCCUCAUACUCGGGGAUAGCCUUGCGAAAGUAAGAUUAAUACCCGAUGUUGUUGCUUUCUCGCAUGGGAGAGUAACCAAAGAUUUAUCGGUAUGAGAUGGUGAUGCGUCCGGUUAGGUAGUAGGCGGGGUAACGGCCCACCUAGCCUUCGAUCGGUAGGGGUUCUGAGAGGAAGGUCCCCCACACUGGAACUGAGACACGGUCCAGACUCCUACGGGAGGCAGCAGUGAGGAAUAUUGGUCAAUGGGCGAGAGCCUGAACCAGCCAAGUAGCGUGCAGGAUGACGGCCCUCCGGGUUGUAAACUGCUUUUAGUUGGGAAUAAAAAAAGGGACUUGUCCCUUCUGGUAU